UUCUGUAAAAUUGAUUCUGACAUAAAUUGAGUUGAAGAUAAAGUGAUUUAUGUUUGAAUAUAUUCAUGUAAAAGUGAGUUAAAUAAAAAAAAAAAGAGUGGAUAUUCAGCAAGACUUUUUUUGUCCGCAAACCAAAAGCAUGACCUCAAAUUCAAAUACAACUCAUUACUUUGUUGUUCCUACUUUGUUGUUCCUCUAUUACCCAAGCGGGUAUGAGAAUGGAUACAUGUAUUUUUUCA
This 239-nucleotide long non-coding RNA is filed under the name Trifolium pratense (red clover). RNAcentral describes it as "long non-coding RNA (TPRA_LNC004917)". The record is from RNAcentral. Lineage: Eukaryota; Viridiplantae; Streptophyta; Magnoliopsida; Fabales; Fabaceae.